CAGACAUCACUAACCGAUGCUGAACGGAGUUGGAAAUAGUGGUGUAUUAGAGUUUGGACCAUGGAGGAGAUAUCAGGAUCAGACCAGGAUUGCAAAAAUAUGCCUGUGAUCUCACACUGGAUCCAAACACAGCUCACACUCAACUCAUCCUGUCUGAAGAGAACAGAAAAACAACAUUUGUGAAGGAGCAUCAGCCGUAUCCUGAGCAUCCAGAGAGAUUCGAGAGCCAGGAGCAGGUUUUGUGUCGAGAGAGUCUGUCUGGACGCU
This is a long non-coding RNA of Megalobrama amblycephala (Wuchang bream), 267 nucleotides long. RefSeq lists it as uncharacterized. The record is from RefSeq and is a predicted model, not a curated record. NCBI's taxonomy places the organism in Eukaryota, Metazoa, Chordata, Actinopteri, Cypriniformes, Xenocyprididae. The transcript is spliced from 3 exons.